RNAcentral lists this ribosomal RNA (328 nucleotides) under uncultured eukaryote. Its description in RNAcentral is "partial 18S ribosomal RNA". It matches the Rfam family "Eukaryotic small subunit ribosomal RNA", at positions 1470 to 1796 of the family's 1831-position model. The record is from RNAcentral.
CCCUUAGAUGUUCUGGGCCGCACGCGCGCUACACUGUUCGACGCAGCGAGUCUUAACCUUGACCGAAAGGUUUGGGUAAUCUUCAGCAAAGUCGAACGUGAUGGGGAUCGAUCAUUGCAAUUAUUGAUCGUGAACGAGGAAUUCCUAGUAGGCGCAAGUCAUCAGCUUGCGUCGAUUACGUCCCUGCCCUUUGUACACACCGCCCGUCGCUCCUACCGAUUGGGUGUGCUGGUGAAAUGUUCGGAUCGGCCGUUUGUCGCGGUUUCCGCGUCAUGUGGCUGAGAAGUUCAUUAAACCCUCCCACCUAGAGGAAGGAGAAGUCGUAACA